RNAcentral lists this ribosomal RNA (164 nucleotides) under Valerianella locusta (common cornsalad). RNAcentral's name for it is "5.8S ribosomal RNA". It matches the Rfam family "5.8S ribosomal RNA". From Rfam's summary of the family: 5.8S ribosomal RNA (5.8S rRNA) is a component of the large subunit of the eukaryotic ribosome. It is transcribed by RNA polymerase I as part of the 45S precursor that also contains 18S and 28S rRNA. Lineage: Eukaryota; Viridiplantae; Streptophyta; Magnoliopsida; Dipsacales; Caprifoliaceae. RNAcentral also lists the same sequence under 1 other name. The record is from RNAcentral.
CAAACGACUCUCGGCAACGGAUAUCUCGGCUCUCGCAUCGAUGAAGAACGUAGCGAAAUGCGAUACUUGGUGUGAAUUGCAGAAUCCCGUGAACCAUCGAGUCUUUGAACGCAAGUUGCGCCCGAAGCCAUCAGGCCGAGGGCACGCCUGCCUGGGCGUCACGC